GAUGAACGCUGGCGGCGUGCCUAAUACAUGUAAGUCGAGCGAACAGAUAAGGAGCUUGCUCCUUUGACGUUAGCGGCGGACGGGUGAGUAACACGUGGGUAACCUACCUAUAAGACUGGAAUAACUCCGGGAAACCGGGGCUAAUGCCGGAUAACAUUUAGAACCGCAUGGUUCUAAAGUGAAAGAUGGUUUUGCUAUCACUUAUAGAUGGACCCGCGCCGUAUUAGCUAGUUGGUAAGGUAACGGCUUGCCAAGGCAACGAUACGUAGCCGACCUGAGAGGGUGAUCGGCCACACUGGAACUGAGACACGGUCCAGACUCCUACGGGAGGCAGCAGUAGGGAAUCUUCCGCAAUGGGCGAAAGCCUGACGGAGCAACGCCGCGUGAGUGAUGAAGGUCUUCGGAUCGUAAAACUCUGUUAUUAGGGAAGAACAAAUGUGUAAGUAACUGUGCACGUCUUGACGGUACCUAAUCAGAAAGCCACGGCUAACUACGUG
Molecule: ribosomal RNA, 497 nt
Filed under: uncultured bacterium
Lineage: Bacteria
Description: partial 16S ribosomal RNA
Rfam family: Bacterial small subunit ribosomal RNA
Source: RNAcentral